AGAACGAACGCUGGCGGCAUGCCUAACACAUGCAAGUCGAACGAGACCUUCGGGUCUAGUGGCGCACGGGUGCGUAACGCGUGGGAAUCUGCCCUUCGGUUCGGAAUAACAGUUAGAAAUGACUGCUAACACCGGAUAAUGACGUAAGUCCAAAGAUUUAUCGCCGAAGGAUGAGCCCGCGUAGGAUUAGCUUGUUGGUGAGGUAAAGGCUCACCAAGGCGACGAUCCUUAGCUGGUCUGAGAGGAUGAUCAGCCACACUGGGACUGAGACACGGCCCAGACUCCUACGGGAGGCAGCAGUGGGGAAUAUUGGACAAUGGGCGAAAGCCUGAUCCAGCAAUGCCGCGUGAGUGAUGAAGGCCUUAGGGUUGUAAAGCUCUUUUACCCGGGAAGAUAAUGACUGUACCGGGAGAAUAAGCUCCGGCUAACUCCGUGCCAGCAGCCGC
Molecule: ribosomal RNA, 446 nt
Filed under: uncultured bacterium
Lineage: Bacteria
Description: SSU rRNA
Rfam family: Bacterial small subunit ribosomal RNA
Source: RNAcentral